AGUCUAUAUAUAAUUAAAAUAUAUUAUAUUUAUAUAUUUUUUAAUAUAUAUAUAUAUAUAUAUAGAGUAAGGCUACUAUACUCUUAUGAGCAUUGGGCCCUUUGUACUCAUAAGUUGUUUUUGAUGAUGGGGCUUCUGAAUCAACUAUUCACUCUGUUAAAUAUAAUCUAGAGUAUUUGAAACUUCUAGAAAAUAAAUUUCGUAAUUUUUCAAAAUCAGAAUAAAAUUCAUCAAGCGAGUAUAAAAUGAACGGUCAAAAUCAAACGACGUCCUAAAAAUGGAUGAUGGGAUCCUUCAAUUUAAGAUCGGAGUUAUUGAUCUUUAUCUAGGUAGUGAAUAUAAUUUUCUAUCAAAAAUUCAACCUAUUCCGAUUCUUUUAUACCGUUAAACUAGCAAGUAUCUCAUACCGGCCGUUAAAAGUUGUCAAUUUUGUGAGCUUUUGAUCGUUAGGUAAAUGAUGUAAAAAAAUUAUGAAAUUUGAUUUCUAGAUGUUUUAAAUACUCUAGAUAAUGUUUAACGGUAUGGAUCGUCGAUUCGGAAGCUCUAUCAUCGAAAACAACUUAUGAGUACGAUGACGAUCGUAGUCAUAAGAGUAUAGUAGCCGGACUCUAUAUAUAUAUAUAGAGUGCGGCUAGGAUGCUUAUGGAAGCACGGAGGGCUCCGUGCUUCCACUUUGUUUUCGAUGUUCGGACUUUCGAAUCGAAGAUCGGCUCCGUUAGACUUAAUCUAGAGUAUUUGAAGUAUCUAGAAAAUAAAUUUUGCGAUUUGUCGAUAUCAUUUGCCUAGUGAUCGAAGUGGCUCAAAAUCAACGGUUGAAAAUAAAAAUCUUACAAAAUAUGAUGAUAUGACAUUAAAAUUUUAGAUCAAAGUUAUUGAUCUUGUUUUAUAUGGUAUAAAGAAUUUUCUAUCAAAAUUUCAUGUG
This 922-nucleotide long non-coding RNA is filed under the name Ananas comosus (pineapple). RNAcentral's name for it is "long non-coding RNA (ACOM_LNC016401)". The record is from RNAcentral. Lineage: Eukaryota; Viridiplantae; Streptophyta; Magnoliopsida; Poales; Bromeliaceae.